AUUGAACGCUGGCGGCAGGCCUAACACAUGCAAGUCGAGCGGAUGAAGGGAGCUUGCUCCUGGAUUCAGCGGCGGACGGGUGAGUAAUGCCUAGGAAUCUGCCUGGUAGUGGGGGAUAACGUCCGGAAACGGGCGCUAAUACCGCAUCCACCCUGAGGGAGUUAGUGGGGGUUCUUCGGACCUCCCGCUAUUAGAUGAGCCUAGGUCGGAUUAGCUAGCUGGUGGGGUAAAGGCCUACCAAGGCGACGAUCCGUAACUGGUCUGAGAGGAUGAUCAGUCACACUGGAUCUGAGACACGGUCCAGACUCCUACGGGAGGCAGCAGUGGGGAAUAUUGGACAAUGGGCGAAAGCCUGAUCCAGCCAUGCCGCGUGUGUGAAGAAGGUCUUCGGAUUGUAAAGCGCUUUAAGUUGGGAGGAAGGGCAGUAAGUUAAUACCUUGCUGUUUUGACGUUACCAACAGAAUAAGCACCGGCUAACUUCGUG
RNAcentral lists this ribosomal RNA (484 nucleotides) under uncultured bacterium. RNAcentral's name for it is "partial 16S ribosomal RNA". It matches the Rfam family "Bacterial small subunit ribosomal RNA", at positions 30 to 507 of the family's 1533-position model. The record is from RNAcentral.